CCGUUAACGAACGAGACCUUAACCUGCUAAAUAGCCAAGCUAGCUUUUGCUGGUUGCUGGCUUCUUAGAGGGACUAUCGGCUCAAGCCGAUGGAAGUUUGAGGCAAUAACAGGUCUGUGAUGCCCUUAGAUGUUCUGGGCCGCACGCGCGCUACACUGACAGAGCCAACGAGUAUAAACCUUAACCGAGAGGUUUGGGUAAUCUUGUUAAACUCUGUCGUGCUGGGGAUAGGGCAUUGCAAUUAUUGCCCUUCAACGAGGAAUAUCUAGUAAGCGCAAGUCAUCAGCUUGCGUUGAUUACGUCCCUGCCCUUUGUACACACCGCCCGUCGCUAAUACCGAUUGAAUGGAUG
Molecule: ribosomal RNA, 351 nt
Filed under: Eukaryota sp.
Lineage: Eukaryota
Description: SSU rRNA
Rfam family: Eukaryotic small subunit ribosomal RNA
Source: RNAcentral